Etheostoma spectabile (orangethroat darter) is the source of this 76-nucleotide long non-coding RNA. RefSeq lists it as uncharacterized. The record is from RefSeq and is a predicted model, not a curated record. The transcript is spliced from 3 exons. NCBI's taxonomy places the organism in Eukaryota, Metazoa, Chordata, Actinopteri, Perciformes, Percidae.
CAUUGCUAUUGCCAGAUGAGUGACAACUUUGUUUGGCUCAUUUUCUGUAACUAGUAAGCAUUUAAAAACAUGAUCC